UACGUAGGGGGCUAGCGUUGUCCGGAAUCAUUGGGCGUAAAGCGCGCGUAGGCGGCCCAGUAAGUCCGUUGUAAAAGUCAAAGGCUCAACCUUUGAAAGCCGAUGGAUACUGCCGGGCUAGAGUCCGGAAGAGGUGAGUGGAAUUCCUGGUGUAGCGGUGAAAUGCGCAGAUAUCAGGAGGAACACCGAUGGCGAAGGCAGCUCACUGGGACGGUACUGACGCUGAGACGCGAAAGCGUGGGGAGCAAACAGG
This 253-nucleotide ribosomal RNA is filed under the name uncultured bacterium. Its description in RNAcentral is "partial 16S ribosomal RNA". It matches the Rfam family "Bacterial small subunit ribosomal RNA", at positions 524 to 776 of the family's 1533-position model. The record is from RNAcentral.